CCCGGAUGUUGUCAACAGUCCCCAAAUGGCGUUUUGUUUGAAACGAGCCAGAAAUCAAUGGUUGCUUUUCCACUAACGUCCACCAGAUGUCGACAGAACAAGUAAACAUGGAGGAGAAUGACUGAACCAAUCAGAUCAAGUCUUGCUUAAAUACUCCCACCUGUCCUCCCACGUGACCAGAUUGCUCAGACCCAUUUUACUAUUUGACUCCACACUGAAGCAUAUUUUCAGAAACUUCAAGGACGGACCGGUCGUCGACGAAGAUGGCUGAGAGUAUAAAUCCGCCGGCGUCGACGAGGACGAGGCGACGAAUGAGGAAAGGCAACCCGUGCAGGUGACGUGCACGGAGAGGUCGAUGGUCAUAGAGGUGACGGCCGACGUGUUUGGAU
This is a long non-coding RNA of Entelurus aequoreus (snake pipefish), 389 nucleotides long. RefSeq lists it as uncharacterized. NCBI's taxonomy places the organism in Eukaryota, Metazoa, Chordata, Actinopteri, Syngnathiformes, Syngnathidae. The record is from RefSeq and is a predicted model, not a curated record. The transcript has 4 exons.